GAAUGGGGAAACCCAGUGUGAUUCGUCACACUAUCAUUAACUGAAUCCAUAGGUUAAUGAGGCGAACCGGGGGAACUGAAACAUCUAAGUACCCCGAGGAAAAGAAAUCAACCGAGAUUCCCCCAGUAGCGGCGAGCGAACGGGGAGGAGCCCAGAGCCUGAAUCAGCAUGUGUGUUAGUGGAAGCGUCUGGAAAGGCGCGCGAUACAGGGUGACAGCCCCGUACACAAAAGCGCAUGUGCUGUGAGCUCGAUGAGUAGGGCGGGACACGUGGUAUCCUGUCUGAAUAUGGGGGGACCAUCCUCCAAGGCUAAAUACUCCUGACUGACCGAUAGUGAACCAGUACCGUGAGGGAAAGGCGAAAAGAACCCCGGCGAGGGGAGUGAAAAAGAACCUGAAACCG
RNAcentral lists this ribosomal RNA (402 nucleotides) under Salmonella enterica subsp. enterica serovar Typhimurium. RNAcentral's name for it is "partial 23S ribosomal RNA". It matches the Rfam family "Bacterial large subunit ribosomal RNA", at positions 116 to 558 of the family's 2925-position model. The record is from RNAcentral. Lineage: Bacteria; Pseudomonadati; Pseudomonadota; Gammaproteobacteria; Enterobacterales; Enterobacteriaceae.